UUUUAUGGAGAGUUUGAUCCUGGCUCAGGAUGAACGCUGGCGGCGUGCCUAAUACAUGCAAGUCGAGCGAACGGACGAGAAGCUUGCUUCUCUGAUGUUAGCGGCGGACGGGUGAGUAACACGUGGAUAACCUACCUAUAAGACUGGGAUAACUUCGGGAAACCGGAGCUAAUACCGGAUAAUAUUUUGAACCGCAUGGUUCAAAAGUGAAAGACGGUCUUGCUGUCACUUAUAGAUGGAUCCGCGCUGCAUUAGCUAGUUGGUAAGGUAACGGCUUACCAAGGCAACGAUGCAUAGCCGACCUGAGAGGGUGAUCGGCCACACUGGAACUGAGACACG
Molecule: ribosomal RNA, 339 nt
Filed under: Staphylococcus aureus
Lineage: Bacteria; Bacillati; Bacillota; Bacilli; Caryophanales; Staphylococcaceae
Description: bacterial SSU rRNA
Rfam family: Bacterial small subunit ribosomal RNA
Source: RNAcentral